Molecule: long non-coding RNA, 579 nt
Filed under: Salmo salar (Atlantic salmon)
Lineage: Eukaryota; Metazoa; Chordata; Actinopteri; Salmoniformes; Salmonidae
Description: lncRNA (ENSSSAG00000117723.1)
Source: RNAcentral
CUGAGAAACGUGAGUUUGUCAUCAUUUUUUAUCUAGACAUAGGAUAGGUUGUGUGAAAAUAUUACUGAUGUUUAACGUUAAAAAUGGACCAAAAGAUUAAUGCUAAACAACAUUUGACAUGUUUGAACGAACAUAAAUAGAUUAUUUACUAGGUUUUUUUAGCUUUUCGGCGUGAUUUUACCAGCCCCCCAACCACGUUUUGUGGGAGCAUAAUGAACGCUAAGUACUUGGUGUUAUUUGGACAUAAAUUAUGAACUUUGUCAAAAGAAAACACAUUUGUUCCGGACCUGGAAUGCCUUCCGGACCUGGGAUCCUGCCUUCUGAUGGAGAUAAUCAAAGGUGUCGCCCAUCUUCCCCAUUAUCCCCUAUGUAUUUAUACCUGUGUUCUCUGUUUUUUCUGUUGCCAGUUCAUUUUGUUCAUGAAACCUACCAGCAUUUUCCCCCCCUGCUCCUGUCUGUUUCUUGCUCUUGUUUCCUUGUUUUUCCCGAUUUUGACCCUUCUUACUGUCCUGACCCUGAGCCUGCCUGCCGUUCUAUACCUUGCCCCACCUCACUGGAUUAAUGACCUCUGCCUGCCCU